AGUUUGAUCCUGGCUCAGAUUGAACGCUGGCGGCAGGCCUAACACAUGCAAGUCGAACGGUAACAGGAAGCAGCUUGCUGCUUUGCUGACGAGUGGCGGACGGGUGAGUAAUGUCUGGGAAACUGCCUGAUGGAGGGGGAUAACUACUGGAAACGGUAGCUAAUACCGCAUAACGUCGCAAGACCAAAGAGGGGGACCUUCGGGCCUCUUGCCAUCGGAUGUGCCCAGAUGGGAUUAGCUUGUUGGUGGGGUAACGGCUCACCAAGGCGACGAUCCCUAGCUGGUCUGAGAGGAUGACCAGCC
Molecule: ribosomal RNA, 303 nt
Filed under: Escherichia coli
Lineage: Bacteria; Pseudomonadati; Pseudomonadota; Gammaproteobacteria; Enterobacterales; Enterobacteriaceae
Description: bacterial SSU rRNA
Rfam family: Bacterial small subunit ribosomal RNA
Source: RNAcentral